CUCCCGCCGGCGACCGGCGCACGGGUGAGUAACACGUAUGCAACCUGCCCCUGUCAGGGGGACAACCCGCCGAAAGGCGGGCUAAACCCGCGUACAUGCCACCGGGGCAUCCCGGAGGCAGGAAAGGCUUCGGCCGGACAGGGAUGGGCAUGCGGCGCAUUAGGCAGUAGGCGGGGUAACGGCCCACCUAACCGACGAUGCGUAGGGGUUCUGAGAGGAAGGUCCCCCACACUGGUACUGAGACACGGACCAGACUCCUACGGGAGGCAGCAG
RNAcentral lists this ribosomal RNA (273 nucleotides) under uncultured bacterium. Its description in RNAcentral is "partial 16S ribosomal RNA". It matches the Rfam family "Bacterial small subunit ribosomal RNA", at positions 82 to 354 of the family's 1533-position model. The record is from RNAcentral.